AGCAGAUCAACCAGCAAUCUCGAGAUCUCUUUCUCUGCCUGACCAAACAGAAGAAAGAAUGGCAAAAAAAGACACAGAAAGGACACCACUUCAACUUCGAAGCAAGAAAAAUAAGAGAUGUUGGAGGCUCAGAUGAGAGUUUCGUAUCUUAUCAGGCAACAGAACGAACGAAAGAGCGGAACCCCGCCAUGGCUGCGACACGCCCCCGGGAUCGCCACGCCAAGAUACGGACAGUUCUCCAAGAAAACCGAAAGCCUGACUACCCCAUAACUCAUUCCUCAUCGCCUCAUCAUUAUCACUUUACCUUUCUGCCAUCG
This 317-nucleotide long non-coding RNA is filed under the name Eucalyptus grandis. RNAcentral's name for it is "long non-coding RNA (EGRA_LNC003010)". The record is from RNAcentral. Lineage: Eukaryota; Viridiplantae; Streptophyta; Magnoliopsida; Myrtales; Myrtaceae.